Molecule: long non-coding RNA, 229 nt
Filed under: Elaeis guineensis (African oil palm)
Lineage: Eukaryota; Viridiplantae; Streptophyta; Magnoliopsida; Arecales; Arecaceae
Description: long non-coding RNA (EGUI_LNC064327)
Source: RNAcentral
UUCAUGACUAAAUGAUACGUCAUUAAAGAAUGAUGAGAUUUAUCGAGUGAAGAUUGUUGUGUGCCAUAUAGAUUGGUUAUCCUUUUAAUCAAGAAAUAUGAAGAUAUUGGUAUCGCAUACAGAUGAGAUGUAGGAGUAUAUCAUCACUGAACAAGUGACUCACUGGUUGAGCACUCAGCUGUCAAGAGUAACUUGUGAAGUAUAUGAGUAUAAGUAUCUCACAAAUCUG